Long non-coding RNA from Vombatus ursinus (common wombat), 544 nucleotides. RefSeq lists it as uncharacterized. The transcript has 5 exons. Lineage: Eukaryota; Metazoa; Chordata; Mammalia; Diprotodontia; Vombatidae. The record is from RefSeq and is a predicted model, not a curated record.
AGAAUUUUACCGUCUGAAAUAUUUCCAUAGAUUAUCAUCUUGACCACACAAUAAUGAUAUUUGCGACUAGAAGCAAAUGAAAUUAUCCCAUUUUUUUUUUGUUUGUUUGUUUCCCAGAAUCAGACGUAUCAGACGUGGAAAGAAUUUCAAAGGCUUUCUAAUUCAGAUAUACAGUAUACAAGACCAGUUAUCAGUCAACUUUGCUUGAAUUCUUUCAGAGAGGAGAAUCCACUCCCUCCUGAGAUGCCUGUUUAUAUCCAUUUCUUAAUAUCUUCCCAGCAUCAAACCCUCUCUUGUAACAAAGAAGAACAGAGCUUCCCAAAAGCCUGGCAUGGUGCGGUGGAUAGAGUACUCAUACAAGUGUUCAGAUACACUGGCUUCCAUUUAGCUGCAUGGCCACAGCAGUGGAUGUCUGUAUGAUGUUUUAACACCUCUGAGAGCUAGGCACUAGAGGAAUGAUUCUCUCCAUUUGACACUUGACCUGAAGAAAUCAAGGCUCAAAUAAGGGGCAGCUAGGUGGCAGUGGAUAGAGCACUGGCCCUGG